RNAcentral lists this long non-coding RNA (246 nucleotides) under Elaeis guineensis (African oil palm). RNAcentral describes it as "long non-coding RNA (EGUI_LNC076500)". The record is from RNAcentral. Lineage: Eukaryota; Viridiplantae; Streptophyta; Magnoliopsida; Arecales; Arecaceae.
GGGUCCCCCUUAUAUAGGCGGUGGGCUCAACAGACUGAUAGUGACGUUCAUAACCGUCUCGUAGUGGGCUGCCCACCAUCAGGAGAAAUUUGCUGCGAGGAGUAGUGGAGUAGACCCGUGGCCCUCACUGCAGCGCGCCACGUGGAGUCUGCUGCAGGGAGUGGAGCGGCGUCCGUUGUCGCGACUUGCCAGUGGAUGGAAGGAUCGCACAAUAUCCGUUACAGGAGGUGGAGCAGGAUCGUGAGC